RNAcentral lists this ribosomal RNA (247 nucleotides) under uncultured bacterium. RNAcentral describes it as "partial 16S ribosomal RNA". It matches the Rfam family "Bacterial small subunit ribosomal RNA", at positions 524 to 771 of the family's 1533-position model. The record is from RNAcentral.
UACGAAGGGGGCUAGCGUUGCUCGGAAUCACUGGGCGUAAAGCGCACGUAGGCGGAUUCUUAAGUCGGUGGUGAAAUCCUGGAGCUCAACUCCAGAACUGCCUUCGAUACUGAGAGUCUUGAGUUCGGGAGAGGUGAGUGGAACUGCGAGUGUAGAGGUGAAAUUCGUAGAUAUUCGCAAGAACACCAGUGGCGAAGGCGGCUCACUGGCCCGAUACUGACGCUGAGGUGCGAAAGCGUGGGAGCAA